AAACGGGCGGUAAUACCCAUAACAUCUCCGGAUCAAAGGUGAGAUUCGCCUGAGGAUUAGUUUACACACUAUUAGCUUGUUGGCGGGGUAAUGGCCCACCAAGGCGACGAUGGUUACCGGGCGUGAGAGCGUGACCCGGAUCACUGGGACUGAGACACUGCCCAGACACCUACGGGUGGCUGCAGUCGAGAAUCUUCGGCAAUGGACGAAAGUCUGACCGAGCGACGCCGCGUGUAUGAUGAAGGUCUUCGGAUUGUAAAGUACUGUCGAUUAGGCGGAAGUGUAAGGGGGUUCUCCUCUUUACUUGACCUAUCAUUGGAGGAAGGACGGGCUAAGUUCGUGC
Molecule: ribosomal RNA, 343 nt
Filed under: uncultured Serratia sp.
Lineage: Bacteria; Pseudomonadati; Pseudomonadota; Gammaproteobacteria; Enterobacterales; Yersiniaceae
Description: bacterial SSU rRNA
Rfam family: Bacterial small subunit ribosomal RNA
Source: RNAcentral